This 837-nucleotide ribosomal RNA is filed under the name uncultured archaeon. RNAcentral describes it as "bacterial SSU rRNA". It matches the Rfam family "Archaeal small subunit ribosomal RNA", at positions 21 to 859 of the family's 1478-position model. The record is from RNAcentral.
GGUUACUGCUACCGGUGUUCGCCUAAGCCAUGCGAGUCAUAUGUUCGUAAGAACAUGGCGUACUGCUCAGUAACACGUGGAUAACCUGCCCUUGGGUCCGGCAUAACCCCGGGAAACUGGGGAUAAUUCCGGAUAACGCACAUAUGCUGGAAUGCUUUAUGCGUAAAAUGGAUUCGUCUGCCCAAGGAUGGGUCUGCGGCCUAUCAGGUAGUAGUGGGUGUAAUGUACCUACUAGCCUACGACGGGUACGGGUUGUGAGAGCAAGAGCCCGGAGAUGGAUUCUGAGACAUGAAUCCAGGCCCUACGGGGCGCAGCAGGCGCGAAAACUUUACGAUGCGGGAAACCGUGAUAAGGGGACACCGAGUGCCAGCAUCCUAUGCUGGCUGUCCGGGUGUGUAAAAUACACCUGUUAGCAAGGGCCGGGCAAGACCGGUGCCAGCCGCCGCGGUAACACCGGCGGCCCGAGUGGUGAUCGUGAUUAUUGGGUCUAAAGGGUCCGUAGCCGGUUUGGUCAGUCCUCCGGGAAGUCUGACGGCUUAACCGUUAGGCUUUCGGGGGAUACUGCCAGACUUGGAACCGGGAGAGGUAAGAGGUACUACAGGGGUAGGAGUGAAAUCUUGUAAUCCCUGUGGGACCACCUGUGGCGAAGGCGUCUUACCAGAACGGGUUCGACGGUGAGGGACGAAAGCUGGGGGCGCGAACCGGAUUAGAUACCCGGGUAGUCCCAGCCGUAAACGAUGCUCGCUAGGUGUCAGGCAUGGCGCGACCGUGUCUGGUGCCGCAGGGAAGCCGUGAAGCGAGCCACCUGGGAAGUACGGCCGCAAGGCUGAAACUUAA